Molecule: long non-coding RNA, 775 nt
Filed under: Gopherus agassizii (Agassiz's desert tortoise)
Lineage: Eukaryota; Metazoa; Chordata; Testudines; Testudinidae
Description: lncRNA (ENSGAGG00000013216.1)
Source: RNAcentral
GGAAAAGGAACUCACUGGGAAGACCUAGUGUUUCAGUUUUAACUAUUAACCAAUAGUGGAAAAACAAGGAUGCCUAAGUUAUGCCUUCAGAGCCAAUAGGGUGGAUUUGUGUGCCCCACAUGACAGCAUUUCCCUUGUCUUUCACAUGGGCCGUAUUUAGUUCAAUUCAGAACUGCAGAUAGUACAGCUUGCACAGCAGCAAUGGGAUGUCUGAGCACAAGUGGCUGACUUCCAAGUGACUUUAUGAAGCACUUUUGUACUUUCCUUCUGCAUUGAAUUGGGAUCUGCAUCCUUGACAUUCACCCACCACACUCAUCUCUACUGAAGGAAACAGUGACUAGCACAGCUUUGCAGUAUGAAACUAGGAAUUGGAGCAGAAUUGCAGACCAACAAAUGAAGUGAGCUGAAGGCAAUUUGACCAAUGUUUUCUGUGUGAAUUCCACAGAGGCUGAUGAAGCAUGUUAUCAAUUCUCCAAGGUCCAGUGUCAAUACAAUAUGAAGAUGUGGCAUUUGAGAGGGUUUUCUUUUAAAAUGGAGGAACACCAUGAAGAAUGGAACAGAAGAACAGGUGACAACUUCAAGGCAUCGUUAAAAAGAGUCAAGAUGGUCAUGUGGGUAAGAUGUGGACUGGGAGCUGGCACCACCCCCAGCCCCGGCCUGACCCGACCCCAAGCCAACCCCUUCCCCAAAGUCCCUGUCCCAACUCCACUCCCUCCCUGCUCCUAAUGGACUCCUUCCCCAAAUCCCCGGUCCUUCCCCAAGCACACCACAUUCC